AGGCAGCCACAAGAUGGCGGCACAAUCGUUUGUCGCCCUGAUGAGAUGGCAACAGGUGUUGUACCCUCUCAUUACGUCCCGCGUCCCUGAAUUGGGGCGAAUGACUCCACACACCACAUCGUGUUGAGUGUACACAUCAGUGUGAGGACUAUUCAUGAGAGAAAUCAUGGCGUCACUGUCUGUGGUAAUCACUGAUCAUCGCAGGGAGAUCAGAGUAAUCGUUGGAGUCCCACGAUUUUCACUUCGGUCAUCAAAUGUGGGAUAUUUCAAUUCGGGAUAGUAGUGCCUGCAUCAGGUGUUAACGGAAAAAUUAUACUUCGAUGGCUGGAAAUGAGAAGUUUUGGAUUGGGAUCUUCGUCCAUUGGAUGCAUAUUCUUAAAUAUUUCCACUGGGUAUUCAAACCUAGAAUCAUAAAGUCCCAUUUCCUCUCCUUCCAUUGCGCCAAUAAUCUCAAAUGCCCAUCCCAUCAAUAUCCAAUUGUUGAGGCUUUAUCCAUAACCAAGAAGGACUCGGUUCAUCAAUUGUCUUCGCAGUAGCACAACAUCUCCAAGCGAUAAUAACAGUGAUCAAUCGAUUUGGGUCAACGAUUUGUCAUCAGGUGCACAUGCACGAGAGGAAAUAUCAUAGACAUUUCGAUUCUUCCUCCAAUCAAUGGAAGAGUGGGCGGCGGUGCAACAAAAGGAGGUGGCCGCAUUGGCAAAAGUCAAUCAGUAGCUCCGAGGGGAACAAUUACUCGGCCGAGUGAACGUAGCUGAUGAUACGAUGUUGGUAGAUGUGAAUUGUUGGUGGAUCUAGUGUCGGUUGAAGACGAGCAGAAGCUUUACGAGCCGCAAGAUGACAGGGCGCAAUAUCACCAUCUUCACCACUUCCGGCUAUUCUGGCUUUUGCGACUCCUCAUUUAGCUUUCAGCCUUUUUAUCUAGUUCAUUUGACGUUAUGAAAGUGCAUAACCCUUGAUAUUUCACAUCCUACUUCUUGCAGAGUAUUCGCUUCUACUUGUGAAGAGUUUCAUUUGGUGAAGAUGGAAAUUAUUGAAUCGGAAUUUUUGGAGUGCGAUGGGGGGUAGAAAAGUUUUUGUCGUUUGAAGAUCAGAAAUAUUCGGAGUAAUUAUCGAAGUUCUUCGAAAGAUAUUUCUGGUGAUCCCGAAAGAUUCUUCGGAAGAUCUUCGAAAUUUUUGGGGAAAGAUGUGGUCGGAAGAGAGAUUUUUAAGAGUUUUGUGAAGCGAAAUUUGGAAGAUCUUCAGCAAAAAAUAUUGUCCCGAAAAUCUUCCAAAGAAUUUUUUUCGGUCACCGGGGAGAUCCGAAGAUCUUUCGAUGAUUCUUCUGGAGAAUUUUAGAAGAUCUUCGGCUGGUUUGGGGGAUUCGAAGCUGGAUUUUUUGCGAAGAUCUUUUGAUGAUCCCCUGAGAGAUCUUCCGCAGACAAUUUUUCGUCGUGGGCUCUUCGACCUCACGACUCGUCGGACUGAAAAUCGUGUAAAAAAAUUCUGUCAGUUGAAGAUCUUUCAUAAAUCUUCAGAAAAAUCAUCGAAAAGUAUUCACAAGAUCUGGCAGAUCCCCUAAAAAGAUCGGUGGCCCCUAAAUAUUCCUUCGAAGAUCAUCGAAAAUUAAUUUUCUGCCAAAGAUCUUCCAGAAUUCCAUAGAUCUUCCAUAGAAAAUUCACUCUCUGCCACAGAUCUUCCAAAAUUCUUCAGAAGAAUCAUCGAAACACCUUCGAAAGAUGUCUGUUGUCACCUAAAAAAAUUCAUCCAAAGAUUUUAGGUGACAAUAUUUGUCUCUGAAGAGCUUCUCCAUUUCCCUUCAAAAACUCUUCUUCAAAAACUCUCUUCAAUACAUUUCUCCGCACAAAAAUUGUUUUCAAUCUCCAAUUAAUGCAAAUUCAUUAACACUCGGCUAUUGACACAACAAAUCCACCGACAAAUCAUGUUAACGAGACAACAUACUCCCGACAUAAUCCCGGACAUCUUCGUCAGCUCAUCGACA
Diachasmimorpha longicaudata is the source of this 1978-nucleotide long non-coding RNA. RefSeq lists it as uncharacterized. Lineage: Eukaryota; Metazoa; Arthropoda; Insecta; Hymenoptera; Braconidae. The transcript has 4 exons. The record is from RefSeq and is a predicted model, not a curated record.